This 465-nucleotide ribosomal RNA is filed under the name uncultured bacterium. Its description in RNAcentral is "bacterial SSU rRNA". It matches the Rfam family "Bacterial small subunit ribosomal RNA", at positions 330 to 792 of the family's 1533-position model. The record is from RNAcentral.
GCCAGACUCCUACGGGAGGCAGCAGUGAGGAGUAUUGGUCAAUGGGCGAGAGCCUGAACCAGCCAAGUCGCGUGAGGGAAGACUGCCCUAUGGGUUGUAAACCUCUUUUGUCAGGGAGCAACGCCGGCUACGUGUAGCCGGACUGAGAGUACCUGAAGAAAAAGCAUCGGCUAACUCCGUGCCAGCAGCCGCGGUAAUACGGAGGAUGCGAGCGUUAUCCGGAUUUAUUGGGUUUAAAGGGUGCGUAGGCGGAAUGCCAAGUCAGCGGUAAAAUCGCGGGGCUCAACCUCGCUCCGCCGUUGAAACUGUCGGUCUUGAGUGGGCGAGAAGUAUGCGGAAUGCGUGGUGUAGCGGUGAAAUGCAUAGAUAUCACGCAGAACUCCGAUUGCGAAGGCAGCAUACCGGCGCCCGACUGACGCUGAGGCACGAAAGCGUGGGUAUCGAACAGGAUUAGAUACCCCAGUA